Molecule: ribosomal RNA, 253 nt
Filed under: uncultured bacterium
Lineage: Bacteria
Description: partial 16S ribosomal RNA
Rfam family: Bacterial small subunit ribosomal RNA
Source: RNAcentral
UACGUAGGGAGCAAGCGUUGUCCGGAAUCAUUGGGCGUAAAGCGCGCGUAGGUGGCUUCGUAAGUCCGUUGUGAAAGUCAAAGGCUCAACCUUUGAAAGCCGAUGGAUACUGUGAAGCUAGAGUACGGAAGAGGCGAGUGGAAUUCCUGGUGUAGCGGUGGAAUGCGCAGAUAUCAGGAGGAACACCCGUGGCGAAGGCGGUUCUCUGGGACGGUACUGACGCUGAGACGCGAAAGCGUGGGGAGCGAACAGG